Long non-coding RNA from Hibiscus syriacus, 818 nucleotides. RefSeq lists it as uncharacterized. NCBI's taxonomy places the organism in Eukaryota, Viridiplantae, Streptophyta, Magnoliopsida, Malvales, Malvaceae. The record is from RefSeq and is a predicted model, not a curated record. The transcript has 3 exons.
GCAUCGCUGGAGAGACCCAGUUUCAGUGCUGAUGCAUCAGAUCCAUUACAUGCAGUUACAAAUGCAAUGAGAACACUGGGAAUUGGAAAUGCUAGAAAUUUUCCAUGCAUAGGUACGGCUAGCCUUCCAUGCAGCGCUUUAAAAACAGGAUCAGGAUCCAGUGAUGUUCAUACACCAAGGAACAUGUCAUGCCCAGUUUCUCCCCAGUGGCAGUCCUCUACUACAUGCAAGGUCUCCGCAAAAUUUUAGCGGAAGGAUGUCUCCCUCUCCUAUAUCUAGCCCUCAUGCCCUCUCUAGUUCAUCCAAUCCUCUUACUGGUGGCAAUGGUGCCAUUCCAUUUCAUCACCAAAAACAGCCAAUGAUCUACUUGCAUGAAGGUAUUGGAAUAAUCCCAAGGUCCCAAAAUAAUUUCUAUGCAAAUUCUAGCAACCCUUAUCAAGAACACAAACCUGACAUGUUUCGAGGGAUUUCACAAGCUUCUAAUGCUUCUCAAGAAAUGAUUUCAUCAGAUACUGGUGCUUUUGGAAAACAGUAUGGAUGGCCUGCGCAUGGGGAUCAUAGGGAACUCUAUGAUGCACAUCCAGUCUUGGCUGAUCAUGUGUCUCAGCAACUCUUGAGGGACCAUGUGAAGUUGGAACCAUCACAGGACCUUAUAAUCCAGAUUCAUCAAUGCUAGGUCGUAAUGGAGGAAUCUAGUUUGCUCCAGAAAUCUCUCAAGGGAGGGCCUCCAGGCAUUGUAGAUGCUUUUCAGUGCUAGGUGGUGGUUUCUUUCCUAAAAGUUUGGAUUACAGUUUCAAAUUUCCUCGGAGAUAAUACAU